CCCUUAGAUAUCUUGGAAUGCACGCGGGAUACAAUAAUUAAGAUAAUAAGUUUAUUUUAAUUAGCUCGUAUCACUUGAUAUAUUUGCUUUUAAAACCUUUUCCGAAAGGAAUGGGAAAUCUCUAAAUCUUAAUUUUGACAAGGAUUGUCUCUUGUAACAGAGGCAUGAAAGAGGAAUACCUAGUAGGCGUGAGUCAACACCUCGCACCGAUUAAGUCCCUGCUUUUUGUACACACCGCCCGUCGCAUCAAGGAACAUGAUUGAAGUCAUGAAGCUUACGGAUAGAAUGGAUUUCGGUCUGUCUAAAAGUAAACUGAAUGGUUUUAAUCUUACCAUGAUGAAGUCGUAACA
This 350-nucleotide ribosomal RNA is filed under the name uncultured eukaryote. RNAcentral's name for it is "partial 18S ribosomal RNA". It matches the Rfam family "Eukaryotic small subunit ribosomal RNA", at positions 1470 to 1796 of the family's 1831-position model. The record is from RNAcentral.